This 322-nucleotide ribosomal RNA is filed under the name uncultured eukaryote. RNAcentral describes it as "partial 18S ribosomal RNA". It matches the Rfam family "Eukaryotic small subunit ribosomal RNA", at positions 1470 to 1796 of the family's 1831-position model. The record is from RNAcentral.
CCCUUAGAUGUUCUGGGCCGCACGCGUGCUACACUGAGUGGGUCAGCGGGUCAGGUUGCGCGAAAGUGUUUCCUAAUCUUGAAAUCCGCUCGUGAUGGGGAUUGACGGUUGCAAUUUUCCGUCAUGAACGAGGAAUACCUUGUAAGCGCGGGUCAUCAUCCCGCGCUGAAUACGUCCCUGCCCUUUGUACACACCGCCCGUCGCUCCUACCGAUUGAGUGGUCCGGUGAGGCUUUGGGAUCUGAGCAAAGAGAGCGUUUCGCUCGUUUUGCCCGGAAAACUCAGUCGAACCUUAUCAUUUAGAGGAAGGAGAAGUCGUAACA